Non-coding RNA from Aedes albopictus (Asian tiger mosquito), 58 nucleotides. The record is from Rfam. NCBI's taxonomy places the organism in Eukaryota, Metazoa, Arthropoda, Insecta, Diptera, Culicidae.
UAGCCUAGCAGUUAAGGCUAUGGAUCGGCAAUCCGGAGACGGCGGGUUCGAUUCCCGU